UACGGAGGGUGCAAGCGUUAUCCGGAUUCACUGGGUUUAAAGGGUGCGUAGGUGGGCAGGUAAGUCAGUGGUGAAAUCUCCGAGCUUAACUCGGAAACUGCCGUUGAUACUAUUUGUCUUGAAUAUUGUGGAGGUAACCGGAAUAUGUCAUGUAGCGGUGAAAUGCUUAGAUAUGACAUAGAACACCAAUUGCGAAGGCAGCUUACUACACAACGAUUGACGCUGAGGCACGAAAGCGUGGGGAUCAAACAGG
This 253-nucleotide ribosomal RNA is filed under the name uncultured bacterium. Its description in RNAcentral is "partial 16S ribosomal RNA". It matches the Rfam family "Bacterial small subunit ribosomal RNA", at positions 524 to 776 of the family's 1533-position model. The record is from RNAcentral.